Molecule: ribosomal RNA, 1275 nt
Filed under: Siphlonurus immanis
Lineage: Eukaryota; Metazoa; Arthropoda; Insecta; Ephemeroptera; Siphlonuridae
Description: 16S ribosomal RNA
Rfam family: Bacterial large subunit ribosomal RNA (bases 849-1210)
Source: RNAcentral
AAUAUUUUAUAUAUGUUAUUAGUUAAUAAAAUAAAAUUUAGUUUAUAAAUUAAUAUAAAGUAUUAUUGUUUUAGUAUUUAAUAAAGAAUAAAUUAUAUAUUAUUGUACUGUAAAGGAAAUUUGAAAUAAUUGAAAUAAUAAAUUAAUAUAAAGUAGAUUUAUUAUUGUACCUUUUGUAUCAGGGUUUAUUAAAUAUAUUUAAAUAAAUUUAUUUUCUCGAAUUAAAGAGGGCUAAAUUAUUAUGUUUGUUAAAGUGGCAAAUUUAUAUAAAAUAAUAAUUUAGUAAUGAAAUAUUAUUCGGUCUUUAAGAUAUUUAGUUUUCCAAGAAAUGAAUUUAAUUCAGGUAUUAUUAGAAAUUAAUUUAUAAAAAGUUUAGUUUUAAUAUAGUACUAAAUUUUUAGGGGAUAAGCUCUAAAAAUUUCUAAAUAUUUUAUUUAAGGUAAGUUUGUAAGCUUGGGGUUAGCUAUCAAUUAAAUUAUGUAAUAAUUUACUUAUAAUAAUAUUUAUUUAUAAUGUAUAUUAGGUAGAUAUUGAAAUGUUAUUAAAAAUGAUAUAUAAUAAUUAAUAAUGGUAAAAUUAUUAUAAUAGAAUAGUAUAAAUAGUAAAAUCUUAAAUAAGGAACUCGGCAAAAUUUUACUCGCCUGUUUAUCAAAAACAUCGUCUUUUGAAUAUAUAGAAGAUAUAACCUGCCCACUGAAGAAUUAAAGGGCCGCGGUAUUGUGACCGUGCAAAGGUAGCAUAAUCAUUAGUCUUCUAAUUAAAGGCUGGAAUGAAUGGUUGGACGAGGUAAAAGCUGUCUCAUUUAAGAUAUUUAAAAUUUAACAUUUUAGUGAAAAGGCUAAAAUAAAGUUGGAGGACGAGAAGACCCUAUAGAGCUUAAUAAUUUAGUUAAUAUGAAAUAUAGUAUAAGUUUUAUUAUUGAUGAAAUUAUUUUGUUGGGGUGACAGGAAAAUAAAUAAACUUUUUUAAAAUAUUUACACUGAUGAGUGAUUUUACGAUCCGUUAUUAAUGAUUAUAGGACCAAGUUACCUUAGGGAUAACAGCGUAAUCCUUUUUGAGAGUUCUUAUCGACAAAAGGGUUUGCGACCUCGAUGUUGGACUAAGAAAAUAUUUGGGUGUAGAUGUUCAAAUGUUAGGUCUGUUCGACCUUUAAAUUCUUACAUGAUCUGAGUUCAGACCGGUGUGAGCCAGGUUGGUCUCUAUCCUCAAUAUAAAAUAGUAUUUUAGUACGAAAGGACCAAAUACUUAAGAUAAUCUUUAUAAUAGAAUACUAUU